GACGAACGCUGGCGGCGUGCUUAACACAUGCAAGUCGAACGGGCUUCUGGGGCUCUGGCUUUUUUGGUUGGGGUCCUGGGGGUUAGUGGCGAACGGGUGAGUAACACGUGAGUAACCUGCCCUUCACUUCUGGAUAACCGCUUGAAAGGGUGGCUAAUACGGGAUGUUUCUGGGUCUGUCGCAUGGCGGGGUCGGGGAAGAUGGUCCCGUUUGGUGUUUUUGGUGGUGGAUGGGUUCGCGGCCUAUCAGUUUGUUGGUGGGGUGAUGGCCUGCCUAGGCGUUGACGGUUAGCCGGCCUGAGAGGGGGGGCGGGCACGAGAGGACGGCGGGACGGACCGGGCUCGUGCGAGAGGCAGCAGUGGGGAGUAUGGCACAAGGGGCGGAUGCCUGAUGCAGCGACGUCGCGUGAGGGAGGGAGGCCGUCGGGUUGUGAACCUCUUUCGGGAGUGAGAAAGGCCUUGCCCGUGUGGCGGGGUUGACGGUGGCUGGGUUAAUUGAAGCGCCGGCUAACUACGUG
Molecule: ribosomal RNA, 517 nt
Filed under: uncultured bacterium
Lineage: Bacteria
Description: partial 16S ribosomal RNA
Rfam family: Bacterial small subunit ribosomal RNA
Source: RNAcentral